AUGGACUCAGCGAUUACUGCCCGGAACGCCUCCGCGCUCAUAGAGAUCAUCAUGCACCCUCAGCCUGAGCCCAACAAUCCAUCGCCCGGGUACAUCGCUAUCCUGCACAUCGCGGAGCUGCGCAUUCUCAGAGGCAAUGCCGUGCGCCAGUUCUACGUCAACCUCAACGGCAAGCAAUGGUCCUCAGAUGCUAUCACACCGAAAUACCUCUCCAGUGGUGCCAUCUACGGUCCCAUUGUUCCCGACCAACAAGGCACCAUUAGCAUCUCCCUCGAACCCACCGCCGGCUCGACGCUGCUGCCGAUUCUCAAUGCCUUCGAGAUCUUCUCCAUCAUGCCCACCACUAAGGUCGACACCGAGUCCGAGGAUGGUACACCCUCGCCCACUCCCAUCACUAACGCCGGGUCCAAGGAUGGGGCAACCACUCCAGUCACUAACUCCAGCUCCGAGUCCCAGGGCGUUUGCAUUGGUGGCAGUUCAUGCAAGAAGAGCAAUAAGCUAGUCCUCUACAUAGCCGUCCCUAUAGCUGGGUUUGUGGUGGUAGUAUCGGCGGCAGUACUAAUCUUUUGCUUGCUAAGACGGAAGAAGCAAGGAUCAAGAUGA
Molecule: ribosomal RNA, 603 nt
Filed under: Triticum aestivum (bread wheat)
Lineage: Eukaryota; Viridiplantae; Streptophyta; Magnoliopsida; Poales; Poaceae
Description: partial small subunit ribosomal RNA
Source: RNAcentral